AUUGAACGCUGGCGGCAUGCCUUACACAUGCAAGUCGAACGGCAGCACAGGGGCAACCUUGGUGGCGAGUGGCGAACGGGUGAGUAAAGCAUCGGAACGUACCUGUUAGUGGGGAGUAGCUCGGCGAAAGACCGGAUUAAUACCGCAUACGACCUACGGGUGAAAGACGGGGAGUCGCAAGACCUCGCGCUAUCGGAGCGGCCGAUGUCAGAUUAGGUUGUUGGUGGGGUAAGGCCUACCAAGCCGACGAUCUGUAGCUGGUCUGAGAGGACGACCAGCCACACUGGGACGUGAGACACGGCCCAGACUCCUACGGGAGGCAGCAGGUGGGGUAAUUUUGGACAAUGGGCGAAAGCCUGAUCCAGCAUGCCGCGUGCGGGGA
RNAcentral lists this ribosomal RNA (382 nucleotides) under uncultured bacterium. RNAcentral's name for it is "bacterial SSU rRNA". It matches the Rfam family "Bacterial small subunit ribosomal RNA", at positions 29 to 409 of the family's 1533-position model. The record is from RNAcentral.